RNAcentral lists this ribosomal RNA (332 nucleotides) under uncultured Planctomycetota bacterium. Its description in RNAcentral is "bacterial SSU rRNA". It matches the Rfam family "Bacterial small subunit ribosomal RNA", at positions 568 to 898 of the family's 1533-position model. The record is from RNAcentral. Lineage: Bacteria; Pseudomonadati; Planctomycetota.
UGCGUAGGCGGCGCGGCAAGUUGGGUGUGAAAUCCCUCGGCUCAACCGAGGAACUGCGCCCAAUACUGCCGUGCUCGAGGGAGACAGAGGUGAGCGGAACUUAGGGUGGAGCGGUGAAAUGCGUUGAUAUCCUAAGGAACACCCGUGGCGAAAGCGGCUCACUGGGUCUCUUCUGACGCUGAGGCACGAAAGCUAGGGUAGCGAACGGGAUUAGAUACCCCGGUAGUCCUAGCUGUAAACGAUGAGCACUGGGUUGGAGGGUCCUCCAUAGCCUUCCAGCCGCAGCGAAAGUGUUAAGUGCUCCGCCUGGGGAGUAUGGUCGCAAGGCUGAA